AUCAUUUUAUACAUCUAUUCUUUUCUAUCAAAUAUCUAGCCUCUCUCUAUUCUGCAAUAUGACAUCUGAUUGCUGUAUCUCUCAUUAUUCUAAUUGCAUUAUAUGAUCUAUUGAUAAGUUCUUGUCAAUCAAAUCUUGUUGAAAGUUAAUCUGACUGUGAAUUGAUGACUUUUGCAGUUGCUAACUGUUGUUAGCUUCUAUUUUUUAUUAUCAGAGUAUAUAUCUUAUUUAUGAUUGUUUCAUCUUCUCUUUCAAUACUCUUUCUAUAUGCAAUCUCACUUCUGUUGAGGAGAUCACCUCCAUCAAUGUUGUGGAGACAGAGUGCAAUGAUGAUGAUGUCAGUGAAGCAGUUGAUAAGAGUGUAGACAGUGAUGAUAGUGUUUGUAAAGAUGCUGAAAUGAUGAAUAUCUCUGUAUUAUUCUCUAUCACUAUCUCUUCUACUUUUAUUUAUAUCUCUGUUUUCUCUGCUCUUACUGAUUCUCUUUUUCUCAUCUCUGUCAAUCUCUCUCUUUUCUUUUAUGCUGA
RNAcentral lists this small RNA (525 nucleotides) under Histoplasma ohiense. RNAcentral's name for it is "hypothetical lncRNA". The record is from RNAcentral. Lineage: Eukaryota; Fungi; Ascomycota; Eurotiomycetes; Onygenales; Ajellomycetaceae.